This 499-nucleotide ribosomal RNA is filed under the name uncultured bacterium. Its description in RNAcentral is "partial 16S ribosomal RNA". It matches the Rfam family "Bacterial small subunit ribosomal RNA", at positions 28 to 507 of the family's 1533-position model. The record is from RNAcentral.
GACGAACGCUGGCGGCGUGCCUAAUACAUGCAAGUCGAGCGAAGUUUUUCUGGUGCUUGCACUAGAAAGACUUAGCGGCGAACGGGUGAGUAACACGUAAAGAACCUGCCUCAUAGACUGGGACAACUAUUGGAAACGAUAGCUAAUACCGGAUAACAGUAUUUCUCGCAUGAGAGAUAUUUAAAAGUUGGUUAUGCUAACACUAUGAGAUGGCUUUGCGGUGCAUUAGCUAGUUGGUGGGGUAAAGGCCCACCAAGGCGACGAUGCAUAGCCGACCUGAGAGAGUGAUCGGCCACGCUGGGACUGAGACACGGCCCAGACUCCUACGGGAGGCAGCAGUAGGGAAUCUUCCGCAAUGGGCGAAAGCCUGACGGAGCAACGCCGCGUGAGUGAAGAAGGAUUUCGGUUCGUAAAGCUCUGUUGUUAGGGAAGAAUGGAUAUGUAGUAACUAUACAUGUAAGAGACGGUACCUAACCAGAAAGCCACGGCUAACUACGUG